UACGUAGGGUCCGAGCGUUGUCCGGAAUUAUUGGGCGUAAAGAGCUCGUAGGCGGUUUGUCGCGUCGGAUGUGAAAACCCGGGGCUUAACCCCGGGCCUGCAUUCGAUACGGGCUGACUAGAGUACGGCAGGGGAGACUGGAAUUCCUGGUGUAGCGGUGAAAUGCGCAGAUAUCAGGAGGAACACCGGUGGCGAAGGCGGGUCUCUGGGCCGAUACUGACGCUGAGGAGCGAAAGCGUGGGGAGCGAACAGG
RNAcentral lists this ribosomal RNA (253 nucleotides) under uncultured bacterium. RNAcentral describes it as "partial 16S ribosomal RNA". It matches the Rfam family "Bacterial small subunit ribosomal RNA", at positions 524 to 776 of the family's 1533-position model. The record is from RNAcentral.